UGGGGAAUAUUGCACAAUGGGCGCAAGCCUGAUGCAGCCAUGCCGCGUGUAUGAAGAAGGCCUUCGGGUUGUAAAGUACUUUCAGCGGGGAGGAAGGGAGUAAAGUUAAUACCUUUGCUCAUUGACGUUACCCGCAGAAGAAGCACCGGCUAACUCCGCGCCAGCAGCCGCGGUAAUACGGAGGGUGCAAGCGUUAAUCGGAAUUACUGGGCGUAAAGCGCACGCAGGCGGUUUGUUAAGUCAGAUGUGAAAUCCCCGGGCUCAACCUGGAAACUGCACCUGGUACUGGGAGGCUUAAGUGUCGUAGAGGGGGUUGGAAUUCCAGGGGUAGCGGUGAAAUGCGUAGAGAUCUGGAGGAAUACCGGUGGCGAGGGCGGCCCCCUGACGAAGACUGACGCUCAGGUGCGAAAGCGUGGGGAGCAAACAGG
RNAcentral lists this ribosomal RNA (428 nucleotides) under Chloroflexota bacterium. RNAcentral's name for it is "Chloroflexi bacterium partial 16S ribosomal RNA". It matches the Rfam family "Bacterial small subunit ribosomal RNA", at positions 355 to 776 of the family's 1533-position model. Lineage: Bacteria; Bacillati; Chloroflexota. The record is from RNAcentral.